This is a long non-coding RNA of Clupea harengus (Atlantic herring), 1226 nucleotides long. Lineage: Eukaryota; Metazoa; Chordata; Actinopteri; Clupeiformes; Clupeidae. The record is from Ensembl.
AACCCUUAAAAUAGGACAAAUGAGUUAAAUUUAGUGUGUGAGGCAGUUGAUCCACAUGUUUAGGAUGAAGCAAACUGUGUUGUGACUGCCAGGUAUAGUUAAAAAACACUUAAACACAUAUACACAUACACGUUAUCUUUUGUCAGAGACCUUGUUAAUGAUUUGUUGUCUGACAAAUAAAUGAAUCAUUAUGUACCAUAUUAAAUUGCAUAGAAUUAUAUUCUUUUGCAUCGCAUCUCGUUGAAUCGCAUCGUGUCGAAUCGCACUGCAUCGCAAUAGGGGUGUAUCGUAUCGCAUUAGUAGCUGCUUUUAUGUAUCUUUAAUGUAUCGGAUCGUUGGCAGUGUAUCGAGAUAUGUAUCGCAUCGUCUUCAGUGAUGGAGAUGCAAAUCCCUAAUAGCUAGAGUUGGAUAUGCUUGUUGUUUAGAUCUGCACCGCUGAAUCCGGAGUAUGUUCCACGUGCUUCAAUGCUACCCUUUACUGGAAUAAAGACAGAUUGCUGCAUCAACCACAAAGAAACUUGCUUUUCUCUUACAACAUCUUUCAUGAAAUCGGGAUAAAUUACCCAAUGCCUUGUGAAUGUGGCUGAAGGCUAAAUUCUCAUCAGCACAUACUCCCCAGUAUUUGGGCCUCAAGUUCUUUUUUUGGUAUUACAACCCUGAAAAUAGCAUUCUUUGAAAUCUCUGUCUGGUCACUACUCCUUCUCUGUCUUCUGCUUCUACAUGAAUACUACUGAUUCAUUAUGACUGUGUGGAAAUUCAAAAACAUAAAUUGUACAACGCACUUUGGAAAUAAUUGUUGUUGAACAAUUACCAGAAAAAAGUAUGGACUAAUGUGACAAAGCUGUGGCAGGUGCUUUGAUCAGUGUAUCUGUGAAAGUGACCUGUUGGUGCAUGUCAAUAAAAUCACUGAAUCAGAGAAAGAAAAAGAAACUUAAAGGUUCAGGUACACUUUUGGUCAAAUUUAGCAACUUGCUCCUCACAGUCUUCUAGCUGUCUGUUCAGGGUGUGUCCUCAAAAUAAUUCCGGUGUUCGUAAAGUCUUGGCCCUGCAAAUGGGAAACAAUCAGUGCCAGUGUGAUUUGAUCAUCAACCUCUUGUCAGAAUCACCGACUACAACUUUUAAUGCUUUACAUUAGCAAAAAUAAAUAUGUGUACUAAUUUGUAUUGCAAAAAGGCAAAUCUAUGGUAACCGUCUCUCUUUCUCUUUUUACCCACAACCUCUUCCCC